AGGUCGAUCCAGUCUGAGAGUCACAGUCCGGGCUCCUCCACAAAUCAUGGAGUCAACCAGGAUGAAACUCAUGUGUACGACUCUCUUCAACAUGGUACUGCUGACGUCUAUGAAUCAGUCACACAAGUCACAAAGAGAAAUGAUUCAUGCUUCACCAGGUCGAUCCAGUCUGAGAGUCACAGUCCGGGCUCCUCCACAAAUCAUGGAGUCAACCAGAAUGAAACUCAUGUGUACGACUCUCUUCAACAUGGUACUGAUGACGUCUAUGAAUCAGUCACACAAGUGAAAAACAGAAAUGGUUCAGAUGAAUAUGAUGACGUCACCUCAUCUCUUAUUGAGUUUAAAGAUCUUAGAACUAAGAAUACAGAGUCUGUCUGCGCCUUCUAAACAAAUCCUAUAAGGUGGGACAGGCAUGAGGGGCAGCCAGUGACCCCUCACACACGUCCUUAUGCUGAUAUCCAGACUUGUGACCAUGACACAAAACUACAGAGAGAAGUGGAUAAAAUCUCAUUGUUACUGGUUUUAGAAAUGCUUUACAAUAAUAAAAAAUACAUCAUUUAGAGUCAAAAUAUCAUAAAUGGUAACAAAUAUAACUGUUGUCUUCUGGUUACUCACAGUCCAAAUCAUCAUCUGCAUCAAUGAAUGUCAGUGAGGCGUCCUGAAAGUCGUCACGUCUCCUGUUCAGUUACCGUCUCUGAGAAUCACUCUGCUCUCCAAUCAAAUCACUUUCUUCUGUUUAUCCUCUGAGUUGCUCUUUGAUGGUUAUGAAUCGUUGCUCUUCUUUAAACUGUGAAGUCGUUCCUGUACUUGGGAGACAUUUCUCUUUUGUUCUGGUAUCAAAUUGCUUCGUGUUUGCUGAACGUAACCGUCUUUCUGUUCACCUGUCAAACUGUUGCUCAUGUUUCCAGAGCAGCUUUUCUUCUGCUCAGACUUAAAAAAUGUUCAAUAAGUUUUGUUUUGUCGAUUUGCCAAAUUGUUGCUCAGUUAUUGAGAAUACCUUUUUUUCUGUUCUGUAGACAUUAAUUUGCUCUUGUUUAGUUGUCAAGUUGCUGCACAGUUGGUUUGAGUCGAAGUUAAUCUCAGUUGACAGGUUGCUUUGCAGUUUUGAAAAAAAAAAUUCUCCUCUGAUAAGUUGUCAAACUGUCUUUCAGAAUAAUUUAUUCUCAGUUUUCUGUUUAGACUUUUUCUCAGACGUCUGAUUUUCGCCUCUUCUGUUCAGUCACUCAUCUUCUGCUCAGACUGUCUGUGUGUGUGUGUGUGUGUGCGUGUGUGUGUGCGUGUGCGUGCGUGUGCGUGUGUGUGUGUAUGUAGGUGCAUGUGUGUGUUUCCAGCUAUACCAUACAUAGACAUGCGAUCUUUCAAUGAACUUAAACCGUGUGUAUGAGGUUUGCAGAAAAGCAGAAAUAAGCACCUUGCUAAACUAUAAAAACAGGAACUUGUAAGAGGUCAUGUCUCAAACAAACAUUUAAAGGUGUGAAGUCUUGCACUUAUAAAGAAACAGAACCUGGUGCUUUCCUAAUGUAUAACAUAGCUCAUCUCUGGACUAAGCUGCACUCUAAAUAAAGCACAUUUUGUCAGCACAGACACAGAUAAAGGAAAUAGUAGAAGGUUGAAAAUAAAUCCUCUGACUGUCUGGCUUUUUCUUCAUAAUGAAGCCAUAUUAGGACACAUAAAGGCGAUGAUUAUAUAUCUAUAUAUUAUAGCACAAAUGACAAUAUAAAAAACAUCAAUUCCAACAAAAUCUGCC
Molecule: long non-coding RNA, 1747 nt
Organism: Oreochromis aureus
Lineage: Eukaryota; Metazoa; Chordata; Actinopteri; Cichliformes; Cichlidae
Source: Ensembl